This 515-nucleotide ribosomal RNA is filed under the name uncultured bacterium. Its description in RNAcentral is "partial 16S ribosomal RNA". It matches the Rfam family "Bacterial small subunit ribosomal RNA", at positions 28 to 523 of the family's 1533-position model. The record is from RNAcentral.
GAUGAACGCUGGCGGCGUGCCUAAUACAUGCAAGUCGAGCGAAUGGAUUAAGAGCUUGCUCUUAUGAAGUUAGCGGCGGACGGGUAAGUAACACGUGGGUAACCUGCCCAUAAAACUGGGAUAACUCCGGGAAACCGGGGCUAAUACCGGAUAACAUUUUGAACCGCAUGGUUCGAAAUUGAAAGGCGGCUUCGGCUGUCACUUAUGGAUGGACCCGAGUCGCAUUAGCUAGUUGGUGAGGUAACGGCUCACCAAGGCAACGAUGCGUAGCCGACCUGAGAGGGUGAUCGGCCACACUGGGACUGAGACACGGCCCAGACUCCUACGGGAGGCAGCAGUAGGGAAUCUUCCGCAAUGGACGAAAGUCUGACGGAGCAACGCCGCGUGAGUGAUGAAGGCUUUCGGGUCGUAAAACUCUGUUGUUAGGGAAGAACAAGUGCUAGUUGAGUAAGCUGGCACCUUGACGGUACCUAACCAGAAAGCCACGGCUAACUACGUGCCAGCCGCCGCAGUAA